GUGUCAGCAGCCGCGGUAAUUCGGGUGAGGCAAGCGUUGUUCGGAAUCACUGGGCUUAAAGCGCGUGUAGGCGGCUCGGUAAGUACCUUGUGAAAUCCCUUCUCUCAAUGAAGGAACCGCUUGGUAUACUGCCGGGCUGGAGGCAGGUAGGGGUCACUGGAACUCUAGGUGGAGCGGUGAAAUGCGUAGAUAUCUAGAGGAACGCCCGUGGCGAAAGCGGGUGACUGGGCCUGUCCUGACGCUGAGACGCGAAAGCGUGGGUAGCAAACGGGAUUAGAAACCCCCGUAGUCC
RNAcentral lists this ribosomal RNA (292 nucleotides) under uncultured bacterium. RNAcentral's name for it is "partial 16S ribosomal RNA". It matches the Rfam family "Bacterial small subunit ribosomal RNA", at positions 505 to 796 of the family's 1533-position model. The record is from RNAcentral.